AGUCGAGCGGACCGACGGGAGCUUGCUCCCUUAGGUCAGCGGCGGACGGGUGAGUAACACGUGGGUAACCUGCCUGUAAGACUGGGAUAACUCCGGGAAACCGGGGCUAAUACCGGAUGCUUGAUUGAACCGCAUGGUUCAAUCAUAAAAGGUGGCUUUUAGCUACCACUUACAGAUGGACCCGCGGCGCAUUAGCUAGUUGGUGAGGUAACGGCUCACCAAGGCGACGAUGCGUAGCCGACCUGAGAGGGUGAUCGGCCACACUGGGACUGAGACACGGCCCAGACUCCUACGGGAGGCAGCAGUAGGGAAUCUUCCGCAAUGGACGAAAGUCUGACGGAGCAACGCCGCGUGAGUGAUGAAGGUUUUCGGAUCGUAAAACUCUGUUGUUAGGGAAGAACAAGUACCGUUCGAAUAGGGCGGUACCUUGACGGUACCUAACCAGAAAGCCACGGCUAACUACGUGCCAGCAGCCGCGGUAAUACGUAGGUGGCAAGCGUUGUCCGGAAUUAUUGGGCGUAAAGCGCGCGCAGGCGGUUUCUUAAGUCUGAUGUGAAAGCCCCCGGCUCAACCGGGGAGGGUCAUUGGAAACUGGGGAACUUGAGUGCAGAAGAGGAGAGUGGAAUUCCACGUGUAGCGGUGAAAUGCGUAGAGAUGUGGAGGAACACCAGUGGCGAAGGCGACUCUCUGGUCUGUAACUGACGCUGAGGCGCGAAAGCGUGGGGAGCGAACAGGAUUAGAUACCCUGGUAGUCCACGCCGUAAACGAUAAGUGCUAAGUGUUAGAGGGUUUCCGCCCUUUAGUGCUGCAGCAAACGC
This 818-nucleotide ribosomal RNA is filed under the name Enterobacter hormaechei. RNAcentral describes it as "bacterial SSU rRNA". It matches the Rfam family "Bacterial small subunit ribosomal RNA", at positions 60 to 858 of the family's 1533-position model. Lineage: Bacteria; Pseudomonadati; Pseudomonadota; Gammaproteobacteria; Enterobacterales; Enterobacteriaceae. The record is from RNAcentral.